AGAGUUUGAUCCUGGCUCAGGAUGAACGCUGGCGGCGUGCCUAACACAUGCAAGUCGAACGGUUAAACCGCCCUCGGGCGGACAUACUGUGGCGAACGGGUGAGUAACACGUGACCAACCUGCCCCGCGCUCCGGGACAACCGCAGGAAACGGCGGCUAAUACCGGAUACUCCGCGGCCCCCGCAUGGGGGCGGCGGGAAAGCCCCGACGGCGCGGGAUGGGGUCGCGGCCCAUUAGGUAGUAGGCGGGGUAGAGGCCCACCUAGCCGACGAUGGGUAGCCGGACUGAGAGGUCGAUCGGCCACAUUGGGACUGAGAUACGGCCCAGACUCCUACGGGAGGCAGCAGUGGGGAAUUUUGCGCAAUGGGGGAAACCCUGACGCAGCAACGCCGCGUGCGGGACGAAGGCCCUCGGGUCGUAAACCGCUUUCAGCAGGGAAGACCACGACGGUACCUGCAGAAGAAGCUCCGGCUAACUACGUGCCAGCAGCCGCGGUAAUACGUAGGGGGCAAGCGUUAUCCGGAUUCAUUGGGCGUAAAGCGCGCGUAGGCGGCCGCCUAAGCGGAACCUCUAACCCCGGGGCUCAACCUCGGGCCGGGUUCCGGACUGGGCGGCUCGAGUGCGGUAGAGGAGAGCGGAAUUCCCGGUGUAGCGGUGGAAUGCGCAGAUAUCGGGAAGAACACCGAUGGCGAAGGCAGCUCUCUUGGGCCGUCACUGACGCUGAGGCGCGAAAGCUGGGGGAGCGAACAGGAUUAGAUACCCUGGUAGUCCCAGCCGUAAACGAUGGAUACUAGGUGUGGGGGGGAUCCCCCCUCCGUGCCGCAGCCAACGCAUUAAGUAUCCCGCCUGGGGAGUACGGCCGCAAGGCUAAAACUCAAAGGAAUUGACGGGGGCCCGCACAAGCAGCGGAGCAUGUGGCUUAAUUCGAAGCAACGCGAAGAACCUUACCAGGGCUUGACAUGCGCCUGAAGCCGCGGAGACGCGGUGGCCGAGAGGAGGGCGCGCAGGUGGUGCAUGGCUGUCGUCAGCUCGUGUCGUGAGAUGUUGGGUUAAGUCCCGCAACGAGCGCAACACCCGUCCCGUGUUGCCAGCAUUAGGUUGGGGACUCGCGGGAGACUGCCGGCGUCAAGCCGGAGGAAGGUGGGGACGACGUCAAGUCAUCAUGCCCCUUAUGCCCUGGGCUGCACACGUGCUACAAUGGCCGGUACAGAGGGUUGCCACCCCGCGAGGGGGAGCGGAUCCCGGAAAGCCGGCCCCAGUUCGGAUCGCAGGCUGCAACCCGCCUGCGUGAGGCCGGAGUUGCUAGUAAUCGCGGAUCAGCACGCCGCGGUGAAUACGUUCCCGGGCCUUGCACUCACAGCCCGUCA
This 1367-nucleotide ribosomal RNA is filed under the name uncultured bacterium. RNAcentral's name for it is "16S ribosomal RNA". It matches the Rfam family "Bacterial small subunit ribosomal RNA". The record is from RNAcentral.